This 484-nucleotide ribosomal RNA is filed under the name uncultured bacterium. RNAcentral describes it as "partial 16S ribosomal RNA". It matches the Rfam family "Bacterial small subunit ribosomal RNA", at positions 29 to 507 of the family's 1533-position model. The record is from RNAcentral.
AUUGAACGCUGGCGGAAUGCUUUACACAUGCAAGUCGAACGGCAGCACGGGGGCAGCCCUGGUGGCGAGUGGCGAACGGGUGAGUAAUACAUCGGAACGUGCCCGGUCGUGGGGGAUAACGUAGCGAAAGUUACGCUAAUACCGCAUACGAUCUGAGGAUGAAAGCGGGGGACCUUCGGGCCUCGCGCGAUCGGAGCGGCCGAUGUCAGAUUAGGUAGUUGGUGGGGUAAAGGCCUACCAAGCCGACGAUCUGUAGCUGGUCUGAGAGGACGACCAGCCACACUGGGACUGAGACACGGCCCAGGCUCCUACGGGAGGCAGCAGUGGGGAAUGUUGGACAAUGGGCGCAAGCCUGAUCCAGCCAUUCCGCGUGCAGGACGAAGGCCUUCGGGUUGUAAACUGCUUUUGUACGGAGCGAAAAGGCUCUGGCUAAUACCUGGGGCUCAUGACGGUACCGUAAGAAUAAGCACCGGCUAACUACGUG